Transfer RNA from Ovis aries (sheep), 72 nucleotides. It matches the Rfam family "tRNA". Rfam says of the family: Transfer RNA (tRNA) molecules are approximately 80 nucleotides in length. Their secondary structure includes four short double-helical elements and three loops (D, anti-codon, and T loops). Further hydrogen bonds mediate the characteristic L-shaped molecular structure. tRNAs have two regions of fundamental functional importance: the anti-codon, which is responsible for specific mRNA codon recognition, and the 3' end, to which the tRNAs corresponding amino acid is attached (by aminoacyl-tRNA synthetases). tRNAs cope with the degeneracy of the genetic code in two manners: having more than one tRNA (with a specific anti-codon) for a particular amino acid; and 'wobble' base-pairing, i.e. permitting non-standard base-pairing at the 3rd anti-codon position. The record is from Rfam. Lineage: Eukaryota; Metazoa; Chordata; Mammalia; Artiodactyla; Bovidae.
UCCCUGAUAGCUCAGUUGGUAAAGAAUCCACCUGCAAUGUGGGAAAUCUGGGUUCGAUCCCUGGGUUGGGAA